Molecule: ribosomal RNA, 355 nt
Filed under: uncultured Serratia sp.
Lineage: Bacteria; Pseudomonadati; Pseudomonadota; Gammaproteobacteria; Enterobacterales; Yersiniaceae
Description: bacterial SSU rRNA
Rfam family: Bacterial small subunit ribosomal RNA
Source: RNAcentral
UGGGGAAUAUUGCACAAUGGGCGCAAGCCUGAUGCAGCCAUGCCGCGUGUGUGAAGAAGGCCUUCGGGUUGUAAAGCACUUUCAGCGAGGAGGAAGGUGGUGAGCUUAAUACGCUAUCAAUUGACGUUACUCGCAGAAGAAGCACCGGCUAACUCCGUGCCAACAGCCGCGGUAAUACGGGAGGGUGCAAGCGUUAAAUCGGAAUUACUGGGCGUAAAGCGCACGCAGGCGGUUUUGUUAAUGUCAGAUGUGAAAAUCCCCGGGCUCAACCUGGGAACUGCAUUUGAAACUGGCAAGCUAGAGUCUCGUAGAGGGGGGUAGAAUUCCAGGUGUAGCGGUGAAAUGCGUUAGAGAU